This 1733-nucleotide long non-coding RNA is filed under the name Androctonus crassicauda. Lineage: Eukaryota; Metazoa; Arthropoda; Arachnida; Scorpiones; Buthidae. The record is from RNAcentral.
AUCAAAUCAGAAGCACUUAAAAUUCAACAUAGCUAUUUAGAUAUAUAAUAUAAUUGAAAUUAUAACAUCUCUUAUGAAUCUAAGAAAAAUCAAAGUGAAACCCAAUUUGAAUCUAAACUUUUCAGUCUAUCUUUUAAAGAAGACUGCAUGAUCACAGAUAAUAAUAGGGUGUGCCGACUCAUUCAUAUUGCAAUAGAUGGCACAUACUUCUAAUAUAGUAUAAAAUAAAAGUGGUGGCAUGGUUGAAAACUAAAAGUGCUAUAGUUGUUGAAUUAAAAAGAUUUAGCCAAACUACAAGCCUAAAACCACAGGGAAUAGCAGUGUUCUUGAAAAAAGGUAAAUGUCUCAAUAAUUUACAUGUGAAUUACAGUAUGUUAAUAAUUCAAUUAAUUUUUUUCAUGGUUAUUAUUAUUGUAUUUACUUUGAAAUCAUUUAUUAAAAUCAUGUUUUCAUUGAAUUUGUUGUUUUUAUUUUGGUGGCUAGUGGCAAUUAAAGUAUUGGCAAAUAAUAGAAAUGUAUUGGUGAAUGUGAGUUUUAAAGUUUCCAUAGAUACUGUGACAUCUGAAAUUAGAUGCAUGGCUAUAAAGGCCACUGGUGGAAGGACAAUUACUGAAGUCCAGUAACAUAAAUAUAUAAGUUUGUAAGUAACUGCCAUUAGCAUAAGUAAAUACAAUACGAUUGCUUCAGCCCAUGGAUCAAGGAGUUAUUUCAACAUUUAUGGUAUAUUAUAUGUAGCUAGUUAUGAAAUAUCUUAUCUAUCGACCAGAUAGCAGUGAUAAGAUUUUGAUAAAAGAUUUAUUGAAAAUUUAUAAUAUAAAAAUAACUGUUGAAAAUAUAGGAAUUCAUGGGGAAAAUUUCUGAUGCCUAUCAGAAAAGAUGAUGAAUGCUGUUUGAAAAAACAUCUACUGAAUUCAUAUAUGACUUUGAAAGCUUCAAAAUAAUAAAGAGCAACAUUAAAGAUAUUGUUAACUUAGUUAACAAAACUGGUUUUGAAGAGUUGGCAGUGAAGAUGUUCAAUAGGUGCUAGACACUCAUCAGUAUGUAUGUCUAGCACUUACUGACUAAUGAAGAGUUAAUUCACUGUGAUGCAAAAGAUUUGGAUAAGGAUGAAGAAAAGGAUGAAAUACUGAAAAAGAUGAAUAAAGAAAAAUUAUGCCAGCAUUUUGCUCUUAUUGUUAAUGCUAAUAUUUUAUUUGUAUUAAAACAAUGGCAAUCUUGAAACAGUUUGGCAAAUAAAAACUUGGAUUGGUAAAGUUAUUCAAUAUUGUGAGAUCUUGAUGAAAAUAAGAUGUGAAAAAUAAAAUAGAUGACUAUUUUAUAUAUUUUUUUUUAUUCAAUUACUACUAUCUAUCCACAGCCUUUAAUAGAAAUCUCAUCUUAUCCAAAAUAUUAAGCCAAUUGAAAUGAUGAUACCAUGAAUUUUUUUCCCAGUAGCUAUUUCAGAUAUUUCUUAACCUAAGGUAGUUCAACAAUAUAACCAAUAAAAUGAUUGGUUAUUUUAUCAAAUUCUUUACCAUCUUUAUCAUUUUUUGACUUGCCAGCACCUACCUCCUUUGACCUCAUUCUCACCAACCUGUUCUCUCCUAUCCAUUAAUUUAAACAGAGAUUUGAAUCUUUUUUCCUAAAUUAUGUCAAAUUUUUCAUUAUAAUUAUAUAUUUAUAUAUUUUUUUUUGUCAACAGAUGAUGCCACUUUCCAUUCAGGAAGAACACUAAGUGGCGGGAUGAAACAAAC